RNAcentral lists this ribosomal RNA (253 nucleotides) under uncultured bacterium. RNAcentral describes it as "partial 16S ribosomal RNA". It matches the Rfam family "Bacterial small subunit ribosomal RNA", at positions 524 to 776 of the family's 1533-position model. The record is from RNAcentral.
UACGAAGGGGGCUAGCGUUGUUCGGAAUUACUGGGCGUAAAGCGCACGUAGGCGGCGAUUUAAGUCAGAGGUGAAAGCCCGGGGCUCAACCCCGGAAUUGCCUUUGAGACUGGAUUGCUAGAAUCCGGGAGAGGUGAGUGGAAUUCCGAGUGUAGAGGUGAAAUUCGUAGAUAUUCGGAAGAACACCAGUGGCGAAGGCGGCUCACUGGACCGGCAUUGACGCUGAUGUGCGAAAGCGUGGGGAGCAAACAGG